This is a long non-coding RNA of Puntigrus tetrazona (Sumatra barb), 648 nucleotides long. RefSeq lists it as uncharacterized. The record is from RefSeq and is a predicted model, not a curated record. Lineage: Eukaryota; Metazoa; Chordata; Actinopteri; Cypriniformes; Cyprinidae. The transcript has 3 exons.
UGCGAACCCACGGCGCUGAGAAUAAUAGGAAAAAGCUGGCCGACGCGCACCAGCGUCAAAGGGAGCGACUGACAUCCGAAGGAAACCACUCUCUAUUACUGUUAGACGUAAAGAAAAGUUCAGUGAAAAAUCUAUAAUAUUACAGUCACCACCGCGACAGUGAUUUUACUGAUACUGCCCAUAACCGCGUGUCUCUUGGCCUUCUUUCGGGGGAAGCUGACUCGGGUCCUCCACAAAAGGACUGGCUGUAGAGGAAGACAAGAUGCAGAUAGUGAAGACCUCUAAAGCCGCUUCAACGAAACAGAGCACGUCAUGCAUGGAUAAUUCUCCCAAAAACAUCUCUUUAUACCGUUCGACGCCUGAUCAUUGUCCUUUUCGACAAAGAAAAUAAGAGUGAGAUUGAGACAUUUUUGUAUCCGUAGAUCAACAAAAACGAUUUGCACUGUUGUCUGAGCGCUCAAAGGUGAUGUACGUACUCUUCUAAAGCCAAAAAAUAGCAUGAAAAGUUUGUAGAUGCAUAGCUGUUUCUCUAAAAAAAUAACACAGCUACUCUGAAAUGUGUUUUGGGCAGAUUCCUGGCCAGAAGAGCAGUACCAAUUUCGACCUUUAAUCAACUCUGGAUCAUCCAGAUCUCUUCUGACAAGCGCA